AUGCAAAAACAAGUGAAUGUCACAAGGAAAAUAUUUCUGAUAUGCUACAAAAGCUUUGGGGGUAAAUGAUCAGUAUGAUAAAUUCAGCCACUGCUGUCCAUCACCUUCAGACAAGU
Molecule: small nucleolar RNA, 116 nt
Filed under: Procavia capensis (Cape rock hyrax)
Lineage: Eukaryota; Metazoa; Chordata; Mammalia; Hyracoidea; Procaviidae
Source: RNAcentral